UACGGGGGGGGCAAGCGUUGUUCGGAAUUACUGGGCGUAAAGGGCUCGUAGGUGGCCAACUAAGUCGGACGUGAAAUCCCUCAGCUUAACUGGGGAACUGCGUCCGAUACUGGAUGGCUUGAGUUUGGGAGAGGGAUGCGGAAUUCCAGGUGUAGCGGUGAAAUGCGUAGAUAUCUGGAGGAACACCGGUGGCGAAGGCGGCAUCCUGGACCAACACUGACACUGAGGAGCGAAAGCCAGGGGAGCAAACGGGG
This 254-nucleotide ribosomal RNA is filed under the name uncultured bacterium. Its description in RNAcentral is "partial 16S ribosomal RNA". It matches the Rfam family "Bacterial small subunit ribosomal RNA", at positions 524 to 777 of the family's 1533-position model. The record is from RNAcentral.